Small nuclear RNA from Heterocephalus glaber (naked mole-rat), 135 nucleotides. Lineage: Eukaryota; Metazoa; Chordata; Mammalia; Rodentia; Bathyergidae. The record is from Ensembl.
GUGUUGUGUGAAAGGAGAAGUUAGCAUUCACCUUGAUAAGGAUGAAAAAGGCCCUCAGCCCUGAAACCAUACAGUUUGGAAUAUGUACAAUUAAGGCAUUGCCACCUAGUUGUGUCACCUUAGCCAUCAUUUUUU